RNAcentral lists this ribosomal RNA (460 nucleotides) under uncultured bacterium. RNAcentral describes it as "partial 16S ribosomal RNA". It matches the Rfam family "Bacterial small subunit ribosomal RNA", at positions 338 to 795 of the family's 1533-position model. The record is from RNAcentral.
CCUACGGGUGGCAGCAGUGAGGAAUAUUGGUCAAUGGACGCAAGUCUGAACCAGCCAUGCCGCGUGCAGGAAGACGGCUCUAUGAGUUGUAAACUGCUUUUGUACGAGAGUAAACGCAGGUACGCGUAUCUGUCUGAAAGUAUCGUACGCAUAAGGGUCGGCUAACUCCGUGCCAGCAGCCGCGGUAAUACGGAGGAUGCAAGCGUUAUCCGGAUUUAUUGGGUUUAAAGGGUGCGUAGGCGGUCGGAUAAGUUAGAGGUGAAAUCCCGAGGCUCAACUUUGGAAUUGCCUUUGAUACUGUGCGGCUAGAGAGUAGGUGAGGUAGGCGGAAUGUAUGGUGUAGCGGUGAAAUGCUUAGAGAUCAGACAGAACACCGAUUGCGAAGGCAGCUUACCAAGCUACUUCUGACGUUGAGGCACGAAAGCGUGGGGAGCAAACAGGAUUAGAUACCCUAGUAGUC